Molecule: ribosomal RNA, 371 nt
Filed under: uncultured bacterium
Lineage: Bacteria
Description: bacterial SSU rRNA
Rfam family: Bacterial small subunit ribosomal RNA
Source: RNAcentral
AGAGGGAGCAAGCGUUGUUCGGAAUUACUGGGCGUAAAGGGCGCGUAGGCGGUUCGAUAAGUCCCGUGUGAAAUCCCUCGGCUCAACUGAGGAAUGGCACGGGAAACUGACGGGCUUGAGUUCGGGAGAGGGAAGCGGAAUUCCGGGUGUAGCGGUGAAAUGCGUAGAUAUCCGGAGGAACACCGGUGGCGAAGGCGGCUUCCUGGACCGACACUGACGCUGAGGCGCGAAAGCUAGGGGAGCAAACGGGAUUAGAUACCCCGGUAGUCCUAGCUGUAAACGAUGAGUGCUGGGUGUAGGGGGUAUCUACCCCCCCUGUGCCGAAGCUAACGCAUUAAGCACUCCGCCUGGGGAGUACGGUCGCAAGGCUG